UUGUCCCCCACCCCCUCCACUUUUCCACAUUCUUCUCCCUUUGCGCCACCUCCCGCAGAGGGUGUCAGAAACGCCCGGGCUGAAGGCCCAGCUGAGGUUGGCCGGAAUUUUCCUCCAGAUGCCCUGUCUGAGAUGUUGAAAGAAAAGAGGGCAGCGGGAGCCCUUCCCAGCGUGCGUACGGAUGCGCAGCAGGCUGGUCUGAAGUCGGUUUCCCGGUCCUCACCCUGGGAGCCUCGGCGUGGAGGCCGGUGAUUUCAAACGGGCAACGCGGAGCGCCCACGCGGGCGGGCCGUGGGUACGGAAUCGAGGAGCGGCGAGAGUGGCUCAUCCACUCGGCUUUGGGAAGCAACUGUGAGCCACGGUAUUCAUUCCUUCGAUCACUCGCUGCGGAAGCAUGCGUCGGGCCUCUACUCUGGGCCAGGGGUGGGUGGAUGGCUGGGGAUGCCACAGCCCUACGAUCGGAGGGGCCAGAGACCCACACAGCUGCACUGUCCUGCGAAAGCCUCGUGUGGGGAUCCGUCAAAUGUAUCAUCUAGGGAGGCAUGUGAACACUACAACUCCUGGAGGUUUCUCUCCAAUGUAAAGUGUGCCGCAUUCUGGCUUCACUCAGGAGCCCCGCGGGGCCCGAGCGCGGCCGGGGUGAGGCCUCUUCUCAUUUCUGCCGAUUUUGUUGUUUAUGGGGACCCAUCUGCCAUCUCCACGGGGUUGUGUUAGAGACAUGCCUUCACUACUUUUGCCAUUGUUUUUUUUCCUCCCUUAUGAACACACACGGUCAUUCUAGAAAAUGUAGAAAAAAGGGAAUAAUCCCACUCGCAGGGCUCCA
Prionailurus viverrinus (fishing cat) is the source of this 823-nucleotide long non-coding RNA. RefSeq lists it as uncharacterized. The transcript has 3 exons. Lineage: Eukaryota; Metazoa; Chordata; Mammalia; Carnivora; Felidae. The record is from RefSeq and is a predicted model, not a curated record.